GCGAUUACUAGCGAAUCCAUCUUCACGAAGUCGGGUUGCAGACUCCGAUCCGAACUGAGACAGGCUUUCGAGAUUCGCUCCACAUCACUGUGUCGCUGCCCUCUGUACCUGCCAUUGUAGCACGUGUGUCGCCCCGAACGUAAGGGCCGUGCUGAUUUGACGUCAUCCCCGCCUUCCUCGCAGCUUGCGCCGGCAGUCCACAUAGAGUCCCCACCAUAACGUGCUGGUAACUAUGUGCAGGGGUUGCGCUCGUUAUAGGACUUAACCUGACACCUCACGGCACGAGCUGACGACAACCAUGCAGCACCUCGUAUAAUGUUAUUGCUAACUAAUCUAAUCUCUUAAAUUAUUCAUCAUACGUUCAAGUUCGGGUAAGGUUCCUCGCGUAUCAUCGAAUUAAACCACAUGCUCCUCCGCUUGUGCGGGCCCCCGUCAAUUCCUUUGAGUUUCAACCUUGCGAUCGUACUCCCCAGGUGGAUAACUUAUAUCUUUCAAUUCGACACUGACUGUAUAUCGCCAACAUCUAGUUAUCAUCGUUUACAGCGUGGACUACCA
This 555-nucleotide ribosomal RNA is filed under the name uncultured bacterium. Its description in RNAcentral is "partial 16S ribosomal RNA". The record is from RNAcentral.